GUGCUCGCUUCGGCAGCACAUAGACUGAAGUUGGAAUGUUACGGAGAAGAUUAGCAUGGCCCCUGCACAAAGAUGACACACAAAUGCGUGAAGCGUUCCAUAUUGUU
Lynx canadensis (Canada lynx) is the source of this 107-nucleotide small nuclear RNA. The record is from Ensembl. NCBI's taxonomy places the organism in Eukaryota, Metazoa, Chordata, Mammalia, Carnivora, Felidae.